RNAcentral lists this ribosomal RNA (557 nucleotides) under Sphingobium sp. StTD754. RNAcentral's name for it is "bacterial SSU rRNA". It matches the Rfam family "Bacterial small subunit ribosomal RNA", at positions 102 to 694 of the family's 1533-position model. RNAcentral also lists the same sequence under 9 other names. The record is from RNAcentral. Lineage: Bacteria; Pseudomonadati; Pseudomonadota; Alphaproteobacteria; Sphingomonadales; Sphingobiaceae.
ACGGGUGCGUAACGCGUGGGAAUCUGCCCUUGGGUUCGGAAUAACAUCGGGAAACUGAUGCUAAUACCGGAUGAUGACGAAAGUCCAAAGAUUUAUCGCCCAGGGAUGAGCCCGCGUAGGAUUAGCUAGUUGGUGAGGUAAAGGCUCACCAAGGCGACGAUCCUUAGCUGGUCUGAGAGGAUGAUCAGCCACACUGGGACUGAGACACGGCCCAGACUCCUACGGGAGGCAGCAGUAGGGAAUAUUGGACAAUGGGGGCAACCCUGAUCCAGCAAUGCCGCGUGAGUGAUGAAGGCCUUAGGGUUGUAAAGCUCUUUUACCCGGGAUGAUAAUGACAGUACCGGGAGAAUAAGCCCCGGCUAACUCCGUGCCAGCAGCCGCGGUAAUACGGAGGGGGCUAGCGUUGUUCGGAAUUACUGGGCGUAAAGCGCACGUAGGCGGCGAUUUAAGUCAGAGGUGAAAGCCCGGGGCUCAACCCCGGAAUAGCCUUUGAGACUGGAUUGCUUGAAUCUUGGAGAGGCGGGUGGAAUUCCGAGUGUAGAGGUGAAAUUCGUAGA